GAUGAACGCUGGCGGCGUGCCUAACACAUGCAAGUCGAACGAAGCGAUUUAACGGAAGUUUUCGGAUGGAAGUUGAAUUGACUGAGUGGCGGACGGGUGAGUAACGCGUGGGUAAUCUGCCUUGUACUGGGGGACAACAGUUAGAAAUGACUGCUAGUACCGCAUAAGCGCACAGUAUCGCAUGAUACAGUGUGAAAAACUCCGGUGGUACAAGAUGGGCCCGCGUCUGAUUAGCUAGUUGGUAAGGUAACGGCUUACCAAGGCGACGAUCAGUAGCCGACCUGAGAGGAUGACCGGCCGCAUUGGGACUGAGACACGGCCCAA
RNAcentral lists this ribosomal RNA (324 nucleotides) under uncultured bacterium. Its description in RNAcentral is "bacterial SSU rRNA". It matches the Rfam family "Bacterial small subunit ribosomal RNA", at positions 28 to 334 of the family's 1533-position model. The record is from RNAcentral.